This 421-nucleotide ribosomal RNA is filed under the name uncultured bacterium. RNAcentral describes it as "bacterial SSU rRNA". It matches the Rfam family "Bacterial small subunit ribosomal RNA", at positions 355 to 773 of the family's 1533-position model. The record is from RNAcentral.
UAAGGAAUAUUGGACAAUGGUCGCAAGACUGAUCCAGCCAUGCCGCGUGCAGGAAGACGGCCCUAUGGGUUGUAAACUGCUUUUGUACCAGAGAAAACCUAUCUACGUGUAGAUAGCUGAUAGUAUGGUAAGAAUAAGCAUCGGCUAACUUCGUGCCAGCAGCCGCGGUAAGACGAAGGAUGCAAGCGUUAUCCGGAUUCAUUGGGUUUAAAGGGUGCGUAGGCGGGCUUGUAAGUCAGUGGUGAAAUCUCUCAGCUUAACUGAGAAACUGCCAUUGAUACUGCAGGCCUAGAGUAUAGAUGANGUUGGCGGAAUAUGACAUGUAGUGGUGAAAUACUUAGAUAUGUCAUAGAACACCGAUUGCGAAGGCAGCUAACGAAACUAUAACUGACGCUGAGGCACGAAAGUGCGGGGAUCAAAC